Molecule: ribosomal RNA, 412 nt
Filed under: uncultured bacterium
Lineage: Bacteria
Description: bacterial SSU rRNA
Rfam family: Bacterial small subunit ribosomal RNA
Source: RNAcentral
GUGCCAGCCGCCGCGGUAAUACGUAGGUGGCAAGCGUUGUCCGGAUUUAUUGGGCGUAAAGCGCGCGCAGGCGGCUAUGUAAGUCUGGUGUUAAAGCCCGGAGCUCAACUCCGGUUCGCAUCGGAAACUGUGUAGCUUGAGUGCAGAAGAGGAAAGCGGUAUUCCACGUGUAGCGGUGAAAUGCGUAGAGAUGUGGAGGAACACCAGUGGCGAAGGCGGCUUUCUGGUCUGUAACUGACGCUGAGGCGCGAAAGCGUGGGGAGCAAACAGGAUUAGAUACCCUGGUAGUCCACGCCGUAAACGAUGAGUGCUAGGUGUUGGGGGUUUCAAUACCCUCAGUGCCGCAGCUAACGCAAUAAGCACUCCGCCUGGGGAGUACGCUCGCAAGAGUGAAACUUAAAGGAAUUGACGG